RNAcentral lists this ribosomal RNA (40 nucleotides) under Hericium erinaceus (lion's mane mushroom). RNAcentral describes it as "partial 28S ribosomal RNA". Lineage: Eukaryota; Fungi; Basidiomycota; Agaricomycetes; Russulales; Hericiaceae. The record is from RNAcentral.
UGACCUCGAAUCAGGCGGGACUACCCGCUGAACUUAAGCU